This is a long non-coding RNA of Brassica rapa (field mustard), 1913 nucleotides long. RefSeq lists it as uncharacterized. The record is from RefSeq and is a predicted model, not a curated record. Lineage: Eukaryota; Viridiplantae; Streptophyta; Magnoliopsida; Brassicales; Brassicaceae.
AAUUGUUUUAUAAUGAUGCAAAUACUAUAACACAUCUUUUAAUUGACAGCUUGAAGAUGAUGAUCCAUUCCCCGAGGAAAUUACAAAUUUGGUUGGCCAGACAUUUAUGUUUGGAGUUUACAUUCAGAAAGACAAUGUUUCAGGGGGGUGCUAUAAAGUUGGAAAGGUAUGGAAAGACCUACGUAUGCUAAUGACCUCUGAAAUAUCAGAGAGCUAUUCUGCUCCAGCCCAAGCAAGCGAGGUAAAAUAUUUUCAAGAUUAUGAUUUAUAUUUUUUAAAAGUUCGAAAUUUAAUUAAUUUGGACCUCGCUGAACGUGUUGUGUAGGAGCCACUGUUGAUUGAAAAUCAAAGUGAUGAUAUUGUUUCUACUCCUUCUUCCAAGCGAAAAGAAGUCAAUAAGGAAGCACCCGAACUUCAUUCUACCUCUAAAAAGCAGUGCACUAAAGCGAUCAAAAGCGAGAAGAUAAGAAAGGAUAAAUCUGCAUCGAGUUAAAGAAGAUUAUUUUGCUGGUUUUUUCUGGAUUUUAUAAAAUUUUCCGUGUUCUACAUUUUGAGUUUCAAUAAGGAGUUGGAUUUUUUUUCCUUUGUUAUUGUUCUGGUUUAAUUUUAAUAAAUGUUUUUCUAAUAACUGCAAGUAUUAAUUACUGACAAAAGUACUAUCACAAAACAUAGUCUGCUACAGUAUAUACAAGAAAAUACCAGCAAUAGAAAUUGUCUGAUAUGACAUAAACCAAUUGACCUAAACAAUAUUGAUCAGUUGUGGAAAUACCAGCUUUUUAAGAUGAAUAAUAUUUUCCGCUUAUACACAUGAAUACAGAUUAUAAGAAAAUAAUCAAUUACUUUAAGAAUAUUGACAAUCCCACUCAAAAGUAAAUAGUUAUAAAACACCGGUCCUAAAAAGUUGGAAGUGAUCUAAAUAGAAUCUAUUCUAUUAAAUGGAAAAAUAAUAUCUAAUUUGAGGCGUGUUUUUUAAUAUUUUUCACAAAAAUCAAAGAAUUAGGUUUCAUCCAUUAUUAUGCUUUCCAGGAUUUGACGAGAAAGAGUAAGCUCCUAUGACUGACGAUAACAGUGAUGCAAAUCAGAUAUAUCCGACUGAAUCAUCGGUUCAGAAAAGGAAGAGAAAUACUGCUUUCUUAACAGACUCUGAAGUUAGUAAUACUCCUCAAGUUCGGGGGAAUAAAUCUGGUCUGUUGCCUUUGAAAAGUGUUUUCAGUAGGGUCUUGGCGGAUGUGACCAACACACGUCAGAGAUCACCAACUACGCCUCAAUCUGAAGUUCUUAAUCAUCCGUUGUCUGGAUUAAACUCAAUUACUGAGUCAAGUGGUAAUAUUGCUUGAAUCAUUAUUUUUGAUAAGUACACUUGUGUUCUGUGUAUGUCUAACUUUAGUAAAUCCUCUACUGUUUCCAGUUAAGCCUAGAAGAAAUACAAACAAAGCUUCUAAGAGAAGAGAUUGACCCUUUUUAAACGAGAAUUCAGCCAAAAAAAAGCACGAACAUUGCAUGAAUUGCCAAAAGAAACAUGAACUUUUGAGCUGACCAAAAAAAACACAAAACUUUCAUUGAUUUUAGAAUUAAUUAACAACGUUUUCGUUGACUUGCCAAUUUAGCACACCGUCAGCAAAUUUAACAGAAAAAUUUGACGUCGUUUAUUGUUGGCGUUAAGUGAAACAACAUCGUUUUACAUGAUUUGAAAAUAAAAACAAGUAGACACUUGGAUUCUAACUCGGGUUGGUUCGGACAAAUUGCCAGAUAUUUUACCAUUGGGCUAGUGGCACUUUCAAUGGAGUUACUAACAUGUUCAAUUUUAUUUGGUACUGAUUGAAUAUAAAAAAAUUCUCUAAAAACUUAAAAGAUCUUUAAAAUUCCAAAAAAUUGAAAAAAUAAAAAAUUAUAAAUUAAUUUUGAAAUUAAAA